AUUGAACGCUGGCGGCAUGCCUUACACAUGCAAGUCGAACGGCAGCACGGGUGCUUGCACCUGGUGGCGAGUGGCGAACGGGUGAGUAAUACAUCGGAACAUGUCCUGUAGUGGGGGAUAGCCCGGCGGAAGCCGGAUUAAUACCGCAUACGAUCUACGGAUGAAAGCGGGGGACCUUCGGGCCUCGCGCUAUAGGGUUGGCCGAUGGCUGAUUAGCUAGUUGGUGGGGUAAAGGCCUACCAAGGCGACGAUCAGUAGCUGGUCUGAGAGGACGACCAGCCACACUGGGACUGAGACACGGCCCAGACUCCUACGGGAGGCAGCAGUGGGGAAUUUUGGACAAUGGGCGAAAGCCUGAUCCAGCAAUGCCGCGUGUGUGAAGAAGGCCUUCGGGUUGUAAAGCACUUUUGUCCGGAAAGAAAUCCUUGGCCCUAAUACGGUCGGGGGAUGACGGUACCGGAAGAAUAAGCACCGGCUAACUACGUG
This 486-nucleotide ribosomal RNA is filed under the name uncultured bacterium. Its description in RNAcentral is "partial 16S ribosomal RNA". It matches the Rfam family "Bacterial small subunit ribosomal RNA", at positions 30 to 507 of the family's 1533-position model. The record is from RNAcentral.